This 221-nucleotide unclassified non-coding RNA is filed under the name uncultured fungus. Its description in RNAcentral is "sequence contains ITS1". The record is from RNAcentral. Lineage: Eukaryota; Fungi.
UUAACGUUUGUUUUUUUACUCAGACGCUCACACAAACACGGGUUUGUAGGGUCUUCUGGCGGGCACUGCGGCCGCCCCGCAGGGGGCAGCAUGGCGCGCCGGAGCGCUGGCCCGCCGAAGCAACAUGGAGAAGUUCACACGGUUUGGUUGGUCGGCCCUCGGGCGUCUCCGCCUCCGGGCCAGGACUUUUAAUGAUCCUUCCGCAGGUUCACCUACGGAAA